RNAcentral lists this ribosomal RNA (501 nucleotides) under uncultured bacterium. Its description in RNAcentral is "partial 16S ribosomal RNA". It matches the Rfam family "Bacterial small subunit ribosomal RNA", at positions 28 to 523 of the family's 1533-position model. The record is from RNAcentral.
GACGAACGCUGGCGGCAUGCCUUACACAUGCAAGUCGAACGGCGGCACGGGUGCUUGCACCUGGUGGCGAGUGGCGAACGGGUGAGUAAUAUAUCGGAACGUACCUUAUUGUGGGGGAUAACGCAGCGAAAGCUGUGCUAAUACCGCAUAAUCCCUAAGGGGGAAAGCGGGGGACCGUAAGGCCUCGCGCAAUUAGAGCGGCCGAUACCUGAUUAGCUAGUUGGUGAGGUAAAGGCUCACCAAGGCAACGAUCAGUAGCUGGUCUGAGAGGACGAUCAGCCACACUGGGACUGAGACACGGCCCAGACUCCUACGGGAGGCAGCAGUGGGGAAUUUUGGACAAUGGGGGCAACCCUGAUCCAGCAAUGCCGCGUGAGUGAAGAAGGCCUUCGGGUUGUAAAGCUCUUUUGUCAGGGAAGAAACAGCAGCUCUAACACAGUUUGCGAAUGACGGUACCUGAAGAAUAAGCACCGGCUAACUACGUGCCAGCAGCCGCAGUAA